UGUCUUUAAUCUGCCUAAGUACCAAAAGUGUGUGGAGGCACUGGCCCAACCUCAAUACCUUUUCAAGCCUGGACUCUUGAACUUGGAGUACCAAUGCAAUAAACUUGUUGAGAGUAAUAUAAAGCCAGAUAGAAAGCAGAAGUGAGAGGGGAGAUAGAGCUUUCAUUGUGCCACACCAAAGAUCCCAAACACCCAUCCAUAGCCUCCUUCAAGGGUGGGGUAAUCUAUUGUAGUUGCUCUAAUUUU
This 246-nucleotide long non-coding RNA is filed under the name Pan troglodytes (chimpanzee). RNAcentral describes it as "long non-coding RNA NONPTRT018285". Lineage: Eukaryota; Metazoa; Chordata; Mammalia; Primates; Hominidae. The record is from RNAcentral.